GCUCAGGAUGAACGCUAGCUACAGGCUUAACACAUGCAAGUCGAGGGGUGGCAGGGUAGCAAUACCGCUGACGACCGGCGCACGGGUGAGUAACACGUAUCCAACCUUCCCAUAACUCGGGGAUAGCCUUUCGAAAGAAAGAUUAAUACCCGAUAGUACUUUAUUAAGGCAUCUUAAGAAAGUUAAAGAUUUAUUGGUUAUGGAUGGGGAUGCGUUCCAUUAGAUAGUUGGUGAGGUAACGGCUCACCAAGUCUUCGAUGGAUAGGGGUUCUGAGAGGAAGGUCCCCCACAUUGGUACUGAGACACGGACCAAACUCCUACGGGAGGCAGCAGUGAGGAAUAUUGGUCAAUGGGCGAGAGCCUGAACCAGCCA
Molecule: ribosomal RNA, 373 nt
Filed under: uncultured Bacteroidales bacterium
Lineage: Bacteria; Pseudomonadati; Bacteroidota; Bacteroidia; Bacteroidales
Description: bacterial SSU rRNA
Rfam family: Bacterial small subunit ribosomal RNA
Source: RNAcentral